This 253-nucleotide ribosomal RNA is filed under the name uncultured bacterium. RNAcentral describes it as "partial 16S ribosomal RNA". It matches the Rfam family "Bacterial small subunit ribosomal RNA", at positions 524 to 776 of the family's 1533-position model. The record is from RNAcentral.
UACGUAGGGGGCAAGCGUUGUCCGGAAUCAUUGGGCGUAAAGAGCGUGUAGGCGGCCUGGUACGUCCGCUGUGAAAGUCCAGGGCUCAACCCUGGAAUGCCGGUGGAAACUGUCAGGCUCGAGUCCGGAAGAGGCGAGUGGAAUUCCCGGUGUAGCGGUGAAAUGCGCAGAUAUCGGGAGGAACACCAAUGGCGAAGGCAGCUCGCUGGGACGUUACUGACGCUGAGACGCGAAAGCGCGGGGAGCGAACAGG